GUUCAGGUGGAUGAUGCUUGGCUCGAGACCAUUAAAUAUGAUCAUUGUGAUGUUGAUAAUGAUGAUGAUAAUGAAAAUGAUGUCGGACCAGGCUUCAUUCCCCUCAAC
Molecule: microRNA precursor, 108 nt
Filed under: Brassica napus (rape)
Lineage: Eukaryota; Viridiplantae; Streptophyta; Magnoliopsida; Brassicales; Brassicaceae
Description: pre miRNA mir-166
Rfam family: mir-166 microRNA precursor family
About the family: This family represents the plant microRNA (miRNA) precursor mir-166. Animal miRNAs are transcribed as ~70nt precursors and subsequently processed by the Dicer enzyme to give a ~22nt product. In plants the precursor sequences may be longer, and the carpel factory (caf) enzyme appears to be involved in processing.
Source: Rfam by way of RNAcentral